CAGUCGCCGCGGUAAUAAAGAGGGUGCAAGCGUUAAUCGGAAUUACUGGGCGUAAAGCGCGCGUAGGUGGUUUGUUAAGUUGGAUGUGAAAGCCCCGGGCUCAACCUGGGAACUGCAUCCAAAACUGGCAAGCUAGAGUACGGUAGAGGGUGGUGGAAUUUCCUGUGUAGCGGUGAAAUGCGUAGAUAUAGGAAGGAACACCAGUGGCGAAGGCGACCACCUGGACUGAUACUGACACUGAGGUGCGAAAGCGUGGGGAGCAAACAGGAUUAGAUACCCCUGUAGUCCCUGUCUCUUAUAC
This 301-nucleotide ribosomal RNA is filed under the name uncultured bacterium. RNAcentral describes it as "partial 16S ribosomal RNA". It matches the Rfam family "Bacterial small subunit ribosomal RNA", at positions 509 to 807 of the family's 1533-position model. The record is from RNAcentral.